Molecule: ribosomal RNA, 382 nt
Filed under: uncultured bacterium
Lineage: Bacteria
Description: bacterial SSU rRNA
Rfam family: Bacterial small subunit ribosomal RNA
Source: RNAcentral
AAUCAACGCUGGCGGCGUGCCUAACACAUGCAAGUCGCACGAGAAAGGGGAGCAAUCCCUGAGUAAAGUGGCGCACGGGUGAGUAACACGUGAAUCAUCUACCUCCGAGUGGGGAAUAACUGAGAGAAAUCUUAGCUAAUACCGCAUAACACUUACGAGUCAAAGCAGCAAUGCGCUUGGAGAGGAGUUCGCGGCCGAUUAGUUAGUUGGCGGGGUAAUGGCCCACCAAGACGAUGAUCGGUAUCCGGCCUGAGAGGGCGCACGGACACACUGGAACUGAAACACGGUCCAGACUCCUACGGGAGGCAGCAGUGGGGAAUUUUGCGCAAUGGGGGAAACCCUGACGCAGCAACGCCGCGUGGAGGAUGAAGUAUCUUGGUAC